RNAcentral lists this ribosomal RNA (253 nucleotides) under uncultured bacterium. RNAcentral's name for it is "partial 16S ribosomal RNA". It matches the Rfam family "Bacterial small subunit ribosomal RNA", at positions 524 to 776 of the family's 1533-position model. The record is from RNAcentral.
UACGUAGGGUCCGAGCGUUGUCCGGAAUUACUGGGCGUAAAGAGCUCGUAGGUGGUUUGUCGCGUUGUUCGUGAAAACUCACAGCUCAACUGUGGGCGUGCGGGCGAUACGGGCAGACUAGAGUACUGCAGGGGAGACUGGAAUUCCUGGUGUAGCGGUGGAAUGCGCAGAUAUCGGGAGGAACACCGGUGGCGAAGGCGGUUCUCUGGGCCUGUACUGACGCUGAGGAGCGAAAGCGUGGGGAGCGAACAGG